Molecule: ribosomal RNA, 478 nt
Filed under: uncultured bacterium
Lineage: Bacteria
Description: partial 16S ribosomal RNA
Rfam family: Bacterial small subunit ribosomal RNA
Source: RNAcentral
GAUGAACGCUGGCGGCGUGCUUAACACAUGCAAGUCGAACGAGAAGUGAAGACGGAAACCUUCGGGCGGAAGGCUUUAUUUCGAGUGGCGGACGGGUGAGUAACGCGUGGGUAACCUGCCUCAUACAGGGGGAUAACAGAUGGAAACGACUGUUAAUACCGCAUAAGACCACAGCAACGCAUGGUGCGGGGGUAAAAACUCCGGUGGUAUGAGAUGGACCCGCGUUGGAUUAGCCAGUUGGCGGGGUAACGGCCCGCCAAAGCGACGAUCGGUAGCCGAUCUGAGAGGAGGACCGGCCACAUUGGGACUGGGACACGACCCAUACUCCUACGGGAGGCAGCAAUGGGGGAUAUUGCACAGUGGGGGAGACCCUGAUGCAGCGACGCCGCGUGAGUGAAGAAGUAUUUCGGUAUGUAAAGCUCUAUCAGCAGGGAAUAAAAUGACGGUACCUGAGUAAGAAGCCCCGGCUAACUACGUG